GUCCUCGACAAGAAUAGGGGACAUGCAAUUUUUGGCGAAUUUCUCAACCGGCAGCGAUGGUUCAAGGCCUUGAAAAGAAUAGGAAAGAAGAGGGAUUACUCAUGGUGGAGUGCCUUGGAGGGGAGAGGUUCCUUUUUAUAGAGGGCUUCCGGGAGUUCCGCCCGAGUCCGGCCUGUCCUGGGAGUCCGUUUCCCAUCCAGACUCAUCGGAG
RNAcentral lists this long non-coding RNA (211 nucleotides) under Elaeis guineensis (African oil palm). RNAcentral describes it as "long non-coding RNA (EGUI_LNC038297)". The record is from RNAcentral. Lineage: Eukaryota; Viridiplantae; Streptophyta; Magnoliopsida; Arecales; Arecaceae.